Mesocricetus auratus (golden hamster) is the source of this 1559-nucleotide long non-coding RNA. RefSeq lists it as uncharacterized. The transcript has 3 exons. The record is from RefSeq and is a predicted model, not a curated record. Lineage: Eukaryota; Metazoa; Chordata; Mammalia; Rodentia; Cricetidae.
UCUCGUGGGUUCUGGGAGUCAAACUUGUGUCCUUAUGCUUGUGGUACCCUUACCAGCGGUGUCAUCUCCUUCACCUUCCCUCCCAACUUUCAGCAGCUUAUAGAGUGUGGGUCUUUGGGAAGGCAUAGAAGACAAAGAUCUCGGCUCUCUGACCCAGCUCUGGUCAGUUACACGUCAGAUAGAAAACCAUGUGAGUUCAGAAGGGAAGUAAUAUCCACCUAGACUUCGCAAACAUUCUAUUGUUUUCUUAUCUCCUUAGAGUGAGGAGCUGCAUAUUCCUGUUUUCGAUGAGGAAACACUGGAGAAGUUGUGUGAGGGAGCCGAGGCGUGAAGCUGGUAGGUUCUCGAGACUCACAAGGUCAUGUGGAGGCAUGGGGGAGACGGCUGGCAAAGUGACCGUGGUAUCCCAGUUGCGACUGUAAACAUCAGUAAGGAUGGACAUCCCUCCAAAGGGCCUUGGUGUGUUUUACCCUGUCUCCCAGACGCACAAGUGGAAGCAUCCCUGUGCUGGCACUGUGGACUCUGAAGGCGAUGCUCUCUGUUGCAGGCUGAGCUAAGGACUAGAUUGGAAUAUGUGGGGGGCAGUUCUGCACCCUCCUUGCUUUUGUUCUAUUUUGGCUGAUGGGGGGAUUUGAAGAGCAGAACAAGAUGGCUUCCUAGAAGCUGACCUCUUCUGAAAGGGAGGGUAGCCUUUCUUCUGCCUUCUACCCUGUACUCUUCUUUAGUGCAGCUGUUUCCUCCAGGUUGUAUCCUGCUGAGGCUAUGUCGAAGUAUAAUAGCAGUGACAACCCACACAAGACCCUCAAGAUGGCAGAAUCUCCCCAGUGUCCUGCUUCCAUUUCUGUUGCUGUGAUAAAACCCCCUGGCCAAAACAAAUGGGUGGGGGGGAGGAUUUAUUUUAGCUCAAAUUUCUAGGUUACAGACCAUCAUAGCUGGGAAGGCACAGAUAAUGGGAACUUGAAGCAGUUAGUCAUAUUCAUAGGGGAUGGUGCCACUCACAGUGGGCUAGGUCUUCCCAUGAAGACAGUCUCUCAAAGGGCAGCUUAAUGAAGACAAUCCCUCAUUUAGACUCUUCCCAUGUAAUUCUGGAUUGCACCAAGUUGAAAAUUAAGGCUAACUACAACACUAAGGUCCUUAUGUGACCUUUUCCUUUCCCAAAGAUUAUAUAAAUGGUAAACAGUUGACUGGGUUAAGACUUCCUUAUGGUUUAUCUGCCUUUGGGUUUCUGAUAUUUCUGUAAUUAAACACACACUGGACUUGGAAAGAACCAUUCUUUGUCUGUUGGUGCUGUCUCUAUACCUGGUUUCUUUGUCUCUAAGAAAAGUCACACAGCUUCUCUCUUUUUUUUUGGCAAAGUAAACAUUGGACAGAGCUGAGGGGUAGAUAAUGGAUAAUCACAGAAAAGAUAUGGCUAAAAUGAAUCAUAGACGGAUCAAAGGCAGGGGGGUGGACCUAAUGUGUCUCCUCUCCAACCCUGGGAUUUAGAGUCAGACUCCCACUAUCCCUUUGUGUCUAAAUGUGGUCUUCCUUUGAGGCCAACAAUGGAUUUGGAUUUCUUG